This is a small nuclear RNA of Cavia porcellus (domestic guinea pig), 107 nucleotides long. The record is from Ensembl. Lineage: Eukaryota; Metazoa; Chordata; Mammalia; Rodentia; Caviidae.
GUGCUCCAUUUGGCAGCACAUAUACUAAAAUUGGAAUUAUACGGAGAAGAUUAGCAUGGCCCCUGAGCAAGGAUGACACUCAAAUUUGUGAAGCGUUCCAUAUUUUU